This 544-nucleotide ribosomal RNA is filed under the name uncultured Nitrososphaerota archaeon. RNAcentral's name for it is "uncultured thaumarchaeote partial 16S ribosomal RNA". Lineage: Archaea; Thermoproteati; Nitrososphaerota. The record is from RNAcentral.
UACAACGCACUACCUGUUCAUAGUAGUCGUUGCUGUCAACAGCACACUGCUCACCAUCAACGCAGGGGACUCCAUCUUCUACACGAACUGGGCGUGGACGCCCUUCGUUUUGUUCCCGGUGUCGCACGCACCCUUUAUCCCUAAAUGACAAAUAACCUAACUGUUAUCCCCAGGUGGUCCUGACCCCGCACCUUCUAACGCACUUGAUUUACACAGCAACAAGAGGGUGCAAAGGGGCCUAUGUUGUGCACUGUAAUCACCCCACCCGUCGCGGGCGACAAGACGCAACAAGCACGCUGCCAUACUGAUUGGCGGUACGCUGGUUGGCCUAUCCUGCCCGCUGUUCAACAUGGUCAACCUGUUGCUUGUAAGGGACCCGCUCGAGGUGGCCUUCAAGUAUCCGAGACCGACGCUGCCCGCGUACAUGACGCCUAUAGAGCCUCAGGUAGGGAAGUUCUACAACUCGCCUGUCGCCCUGGGUGCAGGUGCCGGUGCAGUGCUAACGGUACCCAUCGCUGCGUUGGGUGCAAAACUAAACACGUGG